AAACCGGAGGAAGGUGGGGAUGACGUCAAAUCAUCAUGCCCCUUAUGACCUGGGCUACACACGUGCUACAAUGGACGAUACAAACGGUUGCCAACUCGCGAGAGGGAGCUAAUCCGAUAAAGUCGUUCUCAGUUCGGAUUGUAGGCUGCAACUCGCCUACAUGAAGCCGGAAUCGCUAGUAAUCGCGGAUCAGCAUGCCGCGGUGAAUACGUUCCCGGGCCUUGUACACACCGCCCGUCACACCACGAGAGUUUGUAACACCCGAAGUCGGUGAGGUAACCUUUUGGAGCCAGCCGCCGAAGGUGGGAUAGAUGAUUGGGGUGAAGUCGUAACAAGGUAGCCGUAUCGGAAGGUGCGGCUGGAUCACCUCCUUUCUAAGGA
This 381-nucleotide ribosomal RNA is filed under the name Lysinibacillus fusiformis. RNAcentral's name for it is "bacterial SSU rRNA". It matches the Rfam family "Bacterial small subunit ribosomal RNA", at positions 1160 to 1533 of the family's 1533-position model. Lineage: Bacteria; Bacillati; Bacillota; Bacilli; Caryophanales; Bacillaceae. The record is from RNAcentral.